UCGUGUUGUCAUCAUUGGUUUUUGUUGUAGCUAUUUUUUUAAAAGCUUAAUCCAAACCAACUCUGUACCAUCUAGUGUCAGCUGCAUAAAUUGUUUAGGCAUCCAGACCACCUACUCUACCAUCUAGUCGUCCGACCAUCGUCGCGUGACAGCUGCUUUAUACUUUUUAAUUUUACCGAUCCAGCAAAAAGACUCCCUCCAUCCAGGCUUUAUCAGUGUUGUGAGGUACAAACUUGACGGACACCAGUCUUAGAGUGACCAUCCACCCGACACUCUUGCUGAUCUAUUUGUUUCUGCUGAUCCAGCAAAAAAGUUAUGAUGAAUUCGUCACGACGUGCUAUUCGUUCUCACUUGAAGUUUAUUAUAAGAGCGAAUAACAAAAUAAUAGCGAACAAUCAGAAAAUAAUAAACCAGCUCAGGGCACAGUUGCAGUGGUAUCAUCAGCAAACCCAUCACCUAUUGUUGUGUAUUUAUUUGUUGUUGUUUUUGUUGUUGGGUGUAUGGGGCUCCUCCUUUUUUAACAAUUAAUUAAAUUUAAUCUUAAUAUGUGUAACUGGUUUAACCUCCAACUGAAAAGUAAGAACAUAUUUUUUUGAGUGGCAUGACAACGGCAUUUCUAAGGACGUCAUCUAAUUACCGAGCACUUCUAGUUUUUUUUAAUCUAUGCAGCAACUUAAAUAAAUGUGUUUUUUAACCACCAACAAUGCAACUUAGAGGGGUAACUUUGUUUAGCCGUCCGUUCAUUCAAUAAUAAGUAAAGAUUGUGUGGGUCUAACUAACGUUGUUGUUGUACCAUGGUGUCUGCGAUGUGUCCCAGACGUGUUUGUUUCCGCUGCCGUGUGUUACUGAAGUGGCGUUGCAUUCGUU
Molecule: long non-coding RNA, 867 nt
Organism: Physella acuta
Lineage: Eukaryota; Metazoa; Mollusca; Gastropoda; Physidae
Source: RefSeq, a predicted model, not a curated record